Long non-coding RNA from Camarhynchus parvulus, 617 nucleotides. RefSeq lists it as uncharacterized. The transcript is spliced from 3 exons. The record is from RefSeq and is a predicted model, not a curated record. NCBI's taxonomy places the organism in Eukaryota, Metazoa, Chordata, Aves, Passeriformes, Thraupidae.
AGCUCUGUCUGCCACUUCCAGGGAUGCAGCACUUCCCCUGAAGGAGGAGAGCAAGCUGAUGUGGCUGACUAGGAACUGCAGGACUGCUCACGUUUGUUAAGUCUUGGUUUCAGCAGAGCCUCACUCUGGCUGCUGGCUUUUGAACCUCUGAAGAUGCUGCUGUGCUUGGACUCGGCGUGACUCUCCUCUCAGAAGAAGAGUAGCAUUGCAGCAAGAGAAGAUGCAUCCUCAGGAAAUCACAAACCUCGCAGGACGUGUUAUUUUCCAUCAGCAGUAAGCAGCACUGCCUGUGUGCAGUUCUGGGAGAACAGAGCUGAAACAAGACAAGAAAAGCUGCAGAAGUAAAACUGCCUCUAAAGCUCCUUUUAAACGUGCAGCGCAGGAGUGGACACUCCUGUGUUGAUUAUGGUGAAACCUCUUGCUUCCUGUAAUGUUUGGCAUUCCUUAAUAUGUCCUGAUGGCUUUGAUUUCCUCUCCUCCCUUGCAGCAUCAAAGAGUAAGUGGGCUGAAUGUUAUCCAAUUGGUCAUUUGAAUACCAUCCUUUUCAACCUUCUUUUCCCCCUCCUUCCUGCCUCCCUGUCUUGGAUAAUGUUUUGCUUUCAGAUGCUGCACCAACA